CCAUUAGCUUCUGAAGUACAUACACUAAAACUGGAAUGACACAGAAAAUAUUAGCAUGGCUCCUAAACAAGGAUAAUGGGCAAUUUCAUCAAAUGUUGCAUUAAAUA
This is a small nuclear RNA of Jaculus jaculus (lesser Egyptian jerboa), 107 nucleotides long. Lineage: Eukaryota; Metazoa; Chordata; Mammalia; Rodentia; Dipodidae. The record is from Ensembl.